AGAUGACAUAGAAAACAAAGAUGACGAAGGAAACAAGAGUGACGUAGGACAUUAACAAGGGUGACGUAAGCGAUAUUCUCAAGGUCAUCAGGAUCGAGCAAGAAAUGAUGAGUUGAAAUUUGAACAAGUUAGAAUUCAGAGACAGGAAGAAAGUGACUAUCAAAUCGACUGUUGGGUGACUGGAAUGGACUUGGUAAUUAGGUUGUUAGUGUAAGCAGGUUGUUAGUGCUGAAUUAACAGGGAGUUUUGAGAGUUGACAGGUCCAAGGAUAGGGGAUAUAGGUCUGAAUAGGUGGUUGUUAGUGCUGAAUUAAUAGGGAGCUUUGAGAGUUGACAGGUUAAUGGAUAGGAGUGAUGGAUAGGUUGUUCUUAGUGCUGAGUCAAUAGGGAGCUUUGAGAGUUGACAGGUUCAUGGAUAGGAGAGAGCUUUGGAGAGUUGACAGGUUCGUGGAUAGGAGAGAGCUUUGGAGAGUUGACAGGUUCAUGGAUAGGAGAGAGCUUUGGAGAGUUGACAGGUUCAUGGAUAGGAGAGAGCUUUGGAGAGUUGACAGGUUCAUGGAUAUGGGUGAUGGGUGGAAAUAGGUGUGUAGGCUUAAAGAGG
This is a long non-coding RNA of Portunus trituberculatus (swimming crab), 600 nucleotides long. RefSeq lists it as uncharacterized. The record is from RefSeq and is a predicted model, not a curated record. Lineage: Eukaryota; Metazoa; Arthropoda; Malacostraca; Decapoda; Portunidae. The transcript is spliced from 3 exons.